AUGACUGCUAUCGGAUUGGUAGUAGUCCAUGGGAGUCAUUGUAGCAAUACAAGGCGUACGCAUCAGUAACACGUAGUCAACCUAACUCGUGGAUGUGGAUAACCUCGGGCAACUGAGAAUCAUCCACGAUAGAUCAUAUUGCCUAGAAUGCCUUAUGCUCCAAACAGUUUCCUGCCAUCGGAUGGGAUUGCGGCUUAUCAGCUUAUUGGUGAGGUAAUGGCCCAUCAAGGCGAUUACAGGUACUGGCUCUGAGAGGAGUAGCCCCGAGAUGGGUACUGAGACACGGACCCAGGCCCUAUGGGGCGCAGCAGGCGAGAAACCUUAGCAAUGUCCGAAAGCACGACUGGGUCAGUCCGAGUGAUUCAUCAUAAAGGAGUCUUUUGCCUGUCCUAAAAGCACAGGUGAAUAAGGGGUGGGCAAGUCUCGUGUCAGCCGCCGCGGUAAUACCAGCACCUCGAGUGGUCAGGACGUUUAUUGGGCCUAAAGCAUCCGUAGCCGCCUCUGCAAGUCUUCGGUUAAAUCCACCUGCUCAACAGAUGGGCCGCUGGAGAUACUACAUAGCUAGGGAGUGGGAGAGGCAGACGGUAUUCAGUGGGUAGGGGUAAAAUCCUCUGAUCCAUUGAGGGCCACCAGUGGUGAAGCCGGUCUGCCAGAACACGUUCGACGGUGAGGGAUGAAAGUUGGGGGAGCAAACCGGAUUAGAUACGCCGGGUAGUCCCAGCUGUAAACGAUGCAAACUCGGUGAUGCAUUGGCUUAUGGCCAAUGCAGUGCCGCAGGGAAGCCGUUAAGUUUGCCGCCUGGGAAGUACGGACGCAAGUCUGAAACUUAAAGGAAU
Molecule: ribosomal RNA, 836 nt
Filed under: uncultured archaeon
Lineage: Archaea
Description: bacterial SSU rRNA
Rfam family: Archaeal small subunit ribosomal RNA
Source: RNAcentral